UUGCCCUAACUCUCUUCCCUUCUUUCUUCUCUUCUUGCGACGCCUUCCUCCUCUCCCUAGGCCGCCGUCCAAGGCCGCCGCCCCCUCCUUCAUCCGGCUGCACCACCUCUGUCCCGAGAGGCCAGCCACCUCCUCCCUCUUCUUCCUCUCCUCCUUGAUCCCUUCCACCUUCUACAAACAACUCCAUCCCGUUGGAUUUUCAGCCCAUCCUUCCCUGCGCAGUCAUCAGUCGAAGGCCGAUAUCUUAAGAUCCCGACGUCAUAUCUAGAUCCACGACCUACCGCUGGAAAGCUAACACGGAGAUCUACAACAUAUCCAAAAUUGAGAUCGAUCUGACGGACGGAUCUUCAGA
This 352-nucleotide long non-coding RNA is filed under the name Phoenix dactylifera (date palm). RNAcentral describes it as "long non-coding RNA (PDAC_LNC015386)". Lineage: Eukaryota; Viridiplantae; Streptophyta; Magnoliopsida; Arecales; Arecaceae. The record is from RNAcentral.